AAAUAUCUACGAGAAUACGAGGCUAACUUUUCAUUUCAAUAACAGUGGAUAGAGGUAAAAUCCUUCCCGAAGCGCUAUGGAGAGCAGAAGCUAUGAACAGGACGACGCCUAAAUACCUCAGAAAUUUUGGAUGAACUUCUCGCCCCGAAACUGACCCGCAGCACAGCCUGGACUCCAGGGAAGAGUCUGGAAUGAACCAAAACAUUUGUAGACCAACAGAUGCCGUCUGCUUUAAUUUCUGUUACACUGACCGAGUCAACUCGCAUAGGACAAGUUAGAUCAAACUGUAAAGUAUGAAGUUACACAGGGGGCUUUUAGGGGAGAAUGAGAAGGAGAAGGAGAAGGUAGCUGCAUCGAGGAGGAAAUAAGGUUCCAAGACUAAAAACCCUUCUCCGUUGUCCUUCAUUUCUACAAAACAUACAAAAUCCCCUUUGAAUAAAACACAAAUUUGCAAACAAUAGGUCAGGGCGGUUCAAACGAAAUUGCGACCUGGAAAGGAAGCGACAGUCCGAGUUUCAGAUGUUGCGAAAUAGGACGAAAUAAGGCAAAACUUUUGGUGAGGGUGGAAUCAGGAAUGGCGUGAAAUCCCUAAUCAAAUCAUCUUCCUCACACCGCCAAAUGGAUGCAGAGUGCUUGUAGUAUGAGGCUGGCAGGGAUGGAGGACACGACGGAGCUGCUGGAGAAGAAGCAAGCGUCGGAAAUUUCGAAGAUGAGCUUAGAGGAGGCACUCACUCUCGCUCGUGCUUUCAGCCAUUACCUCAAUUUGAUGGGCAUUGCUGAAGUUCAUCACAGGUCACUGAACGACUUGGGAAAAAAAAAAAAAAGGGUUAAAUUUCAUAUAUCUCUUAGUGACAUAUUUUACAACCAAUCGACUCUUGCUUGCUUCAUCAUCAGUAGUAGCAACUCUUAAUCCCCAAUCUAUGAAUUAAAUCCUGCUUUCUUCAUCAUCUGUCAAUUUGUUAGUCUAUGGUUGGUGAAUGAAUUUUGGCAGGCAAUGUUGUUUUUGAUUUAGAGUUUCUGUCUGAAUUGUCGUAGUUUUGUUUGAUUUGGAAUGUAACUGGAAUAUUUUCAGCAUUGUAUUUGAUUUUUGAUUAUCAUGAAUCUUUGCCUUUUGGUUUUUUAUGAUGUAUUAGCUGAUAUACUUGAUAUGCUAAAACAAAUUUUGAGGGGAUCAUGGAUCAUUUUGUGUUGCAGCUCUUCAUGCUUUGUCAAACUUUCAUUGUUUUUUUAUUUAUGUGAGUAUAGUCAAUCUUAUUGACUAAUUGGAGGUCCUGGAUUAUGUGUGGUUGCUACAGAUAAGAGAGUUGGCUCUUUAAUAGAUGCAUGUGCAAUUAUUACUUGAUCCUUAGAACGCAUAGAAGGUUCAAGUAUUUCUUUCGGUCAGCAUAUUAUUGGUGUUCCCAUUUCUCUUGAAUAUAUAUAUAGGUCAAUAUUCGUUAUGGGUUUUACUUCUGUUUGUUAUACCGAAGAGGUUGUGAUUAACUUCUAUGUUUUAUUUUCCAUGGUUCUGUUUGUUCUGUUGAUUUUAUAUAGUGUUAGAAGGCAUGUUUGGAAACACAUUACAGUGGUUUAAUACAAGUGUUAAUGAUAUUUUGUUAUGGUUUCUGCAAUAGCUACUGAAAUUGUUUCAGUUCAUAUUAGUUAGUAGUGAGUCACUCAUAAACUUUUUUCAAUAAAUCAUUUUCAUGAGAUUCAUUUUGUCACUUCAUGUGUCCAACAAUCCAGAUAAACUCUGCUUUGUACUGACAACUCAGAGGAAUUUAGGUAGUGUUUUAAAAUGUUUUAGACUGUAUAGAGAAGCAGCACUGUAGAGUAAUCAAUGACUAUGCAAAGCUGUUUGAGUUUUUAUUUCUUAUUUGUGUACUUUUGUUGUUCUUGGAAUUCAAACAGAGCAUGUGAGUUGUGAAUUGGCUUUUCUAAUUUAGUAUUUCAUAUUUCGCAUUGCUUAGGGUUUAGAAUAGGAAGUGCUUUACUACAUAUUUAGCUUUACCAAUGUGUACUGGUUUUGUCAUGCUGCUGUAGAAUAUGUACUCCAAAGUGGAUCUGAUUCUGUUGGUCAUGAACAAACUGAAAUGUCUUGGGACUGCUAUUAGUUUCUUCAAAAUAUUUUAAGUUUGAAUUACUGUACAUAUAUAAUUAAACAUGCUUUCAAUUACUGUCUUCAUAUGCAAGUUCAAUGUUUUACAUUAUGAGAAGGAGAUUUUUUUGGUUUAAAGUAUGAGAAUGUGAGAAUUUUGAAGUAGUUGUCUAUUUGCUUAUUAUUUGCUGUGUUUACCUUGCGACAAAUCAGCCAUAUUUGUUAUUGUUGUGACAGAGUUUGUUUGUUGGAAUGAAGAAGCAAUCACCAGAUGCACUUUCUUCUCAUCCCAAGUAAUAUUUGUUCUUUCAAGCAAUGGUAGAUUUUCUACUCAAGAGUUUUAAACAUGUAUCUCAUUAUCUGGUUUACUAGGGGUUGAGGAAAUUAUUUGGUCAGUAUCUUCUAAAGUUGGUCUUUUUUCCCCAAGUUUUCUUUUGAACGUUUGCCAUUGUUGUCUUUUCAAAAUAAUGUUGAUCUAAUAUGCUUACUUAGGACUACAUGCAUAUAGCCAUGCAUAUCGCCUGAGCGUAACUAAUUAAUACAGAGACUUAGAAUCUUCUUAUUCUGGAAUAAGCCUUGGCUGGCUAGCUAUUCUUCGCAUAUGUCCUGACCUAUAAGGAACCUUAUUAAAAAAGGAAUAUGAGGUCUGCUAGCUCCUUCAUAUCAGCAAAAGUAUUGUGUAGGCUUUGUUUCUUCAGUUUCUUUUUGGGUUUAGCUGUCUUCUUCCUGUGCCAAGCUUCUUAACUUUGCUUCGGAUUUCCAUUUUCAUUUGUUUGUUUUAUUGUGUUUAGUAACUUUUAAGGAGGUGAAUCUCAACUGGAUAAUCUCAUUAGGCACCAGAAGAUUGUAUCUUUCUGGCGAGUCCCUGUUAUCUUAUAUUUCUCUUUUGUAUCGGGUUGUUUCAGUAAGGAUCAAAGAACUUGCAGUUUUAUAUCAAUCACUUAAUCUUCAGUGAUAGGGAAGCUAACAUUGAACCAGCAAUGUCAUCACAUACGGUGCACAACCCAACAAGCAGAAAACUGACUGAAGCAGCAUGUUAUUGCAAUUCUUGCUUCACUUUUUGUUUAGAUAUUACUGGAGCAAGCAAUUUUUUGAUAGGCUAACACGUUUUGUUUAUAUACACCUAGACCAACUAGAACAACUACUUUUUGGAAAAUAUUCCAGCAACUGUAAAUAAGUAAACCUUGGAUAGCCUAUUUUUUGAACACUCCACUAUGAUAAGAUCAUCCUUUGUUUUAGAUGAUCUGCAGUAAUGAAAACAGUUCUA
Rosa rugosa (rugosa rose) is the source of this 3344-nucleotide RNA transcript. It is a transcript of the gene named phosphoenolpyruvate carboxylase 4-like, with no coding region annotated. NCBI's taxonomy places the organism in Eukaryota, Viridiplantae, Streptophyta, Magnoliopsida, Rosales, Rosaceae. The transcript has 4 exons. The record is from RefSeq and is a predicted model, not a curated record.